Molecule: ribosomal RNA, 453 nt
Filed under: uncultured Skermanella sp.
Lineage: Bacteria; Pseudomonadati; Pseudomonadota; Alphaproteobacteria; Rhodospirillales; Azospirillaceae
Description: bacterial SSU rRNA
Rfam family: Bacterial small subunit ribosomal RNA
Source: RNAcentral
AGAGUUUGAUCCUGGCUCAGAACGAACGCUGGCGGCAUGCCUAACACAUGCAAGUCGAACGAGGGCUUCGGCCCUAGUGGCGCACGGGUGAGUAACGCGUGGGAACCUGCCCUGUGGUACGGAAUAACUCCGGGAAACUGGAGCUAAUACCGUAUGUGUCUUGAGGGACAAAGAUUUAUCGCCAUGGGAUGGGCCCGCGUAGGAUUAGCUUGUUGGUGGGGUAACGGCCUACCAAGGCAACGAUCCUUAGCUGGUCCGAGAGGAUGAUCAGCCACACUGGGACUGAGACACGGCCCAGACUCCUACGGGAGGCAGCAGUGGGGAAUAUUGGACAAUGGGCGCAAGCCUGAUCCAGCAAUGCCGCGUGAGUGAUGAAGGCCUUCGGGUUGUAAAGCUCUUUCGCACGCGACGAUGAUGACGGUAGCGUGAGAAGAAGCCCCGGCUAACUUCGUG